UAUUGUGCUUAGUUAGGAGGCAGACAGCAAAGUGUUUUUAUACUUCGAGGCCUAUUUGAGAGGAUUUUUCAAACAUUUUCGUGAAUCUUCCUCCAAGCAGCCUUGAACAUUC
This is a non-coding RNA of Cucumis melo (muskmelon), 112 nucleotides long. NCBI's taxonomy places the organism in Eukaryota, Viridiplantae, Streptophyta, Magnoliopsida, Cucurbitales, Cucurbitaceae. The record is from Rfam.